CGUGUAGGCGGCUAGAUAAGUCAGAUGUGAAAACCCUUGGCUUAACCAAGGAAGGGCAUUUGAAACUGUCUGGCUUGAGUACGGGAGGGGGAAGUGGAGUUCCCGGUGUAGAGGUGAAAUUCGUAGAUAUCGGGAGGAACACCGGUGGCGAAGGCGGCUUCCUGGACCGAUACUGACGCUGAGACGCGAAAGCGUGGGGAGCAAACAGGAUUAGAUACCCUGGUAGUCCACGCCGUAAACUUUGGGCACUUGGUGUUGCGGGUAUUGACCCCUGCAGUGCCGAAGCUAACGCAUUAAGUGCCCCGCCUGGGGAGUACGGUCGCAAGGCUAAA
Molecule: ribosomal RNA, 332 nt
Filed under: uncultured bacterium
Lineage: Bacteria
Description: bacterial SSU rRNA
Rfam family: Bacterial small subunit ribosomal RNA
Source: RNAcentral